Molecule: transfer RNA, 68 nt
Filed under: Marmota monax (woodchuck)
Lineage: Eukaryota; Metazoa; Chordata; Mammalia; Rodentia; Sciuridae
Rfam family: tRNA
About the family: Transfer RNA (tRNA) molecules are approximately 80 nucleotides in length. Their secondary structure includes four short double-helical elements and three loops (D, anti-codon, and T loops).
Source: Rfam by way of RNAcentral
GUUGGGGCUCAGUGGUAGAGCACUUGCUUAGCAUGUGUGAGGCACUGGGUUCGAUUCUCAGCACAACA